AUGCAGAAUGUGAUUAACAAGGUGAAGGGAAAGUCACUGGAAGUGGCUGAGUACCUGACCCCGGUCCUCAAGGAAUCAGUUUAAGGAAACAGGUGUAAUCACCCCAGAAGAGUUUGUGGCAGCUGGAAAUAACAUAGUCCACCACUGUCCAACAUGGCAAUGGGCUACAGGGGAAGAAUUGAAAGUGAAGGGAUACCUACCCACAGGCAAACAAUUUUUGGUAACCAAAAAUGUGCUGUGCUAUAAGCCGUGCAAACAGAUGGAAUAUUCAGAGGAAUUGGAAGCUAUCAUUGAAGAAGAGGAUGGUGAUGGCGGAUGGGUAGAUACACAUCAUAACACAAGCAUUACAGGAAUAACGGAAGCAGUUAAGGAGAUCACACUGGAAAACAAGGACAGUGUAAAACUUCAAGAUUGCUCAGCACUAUGUGAAGAGGAAGAAAAGGAAGAUGAAGGAGAAGCUGCAGAUAUGGAAGAAUAUGAAGAGAGUGGAUUGUUGGAAGCAGAUGAGGCUACCCUAGAUACAAGGAAAAUAGUAGAAGCUUGUAAAGCCAAAACUGAUGCUGGCGAUGAAGAUGCUAUUUUGCAAACCAGAAUUUACGACCUUUACAUCACUUAUGAUAAAUAUUACCAGACUCCACGAUUAUGGUUGUUUGGCUAUGAUGAGCAACUGCAGCCUUUAACAGUUGAGCACAUGUAUGAAGACAUCAGUCAAGAUCAUGUGAAGAAAACAGGGACCAUUGAAAAUCCCUCUCAUCUACCACCACCUCCCAUGUGUUCAGUUCACCCAUGCGGGCAUGCUGAGGUGAUGAAGAAAAUAGUUGAGACUGUUGCAGAUGGAGGGGGAGAACUUGGAGUUCAUAUGUAUCUUCUUAUUUUCUUGAAAUUUGUACAAGCUGUCAUUCCGACAAUAGAAUGACUACACAAGACAGUUCACAAUGUAA
Nomascus leucogenys (northern white-cheeked gibbon) is the source of this 941-nucleotide RNA transcript. It is a transcript of the gene named ubiquitin-like-conjugating enzyme ATG3 pseudogene, with no coding region annotated. The record is from RefSeq and is a predicted model, not a curated record. NCBI's taxonomy places the organism in Eukaryota, Metazoa, Chordata, Mammalia, Primates, Hylobatidae. The transcript has a single exon.